This 507-nucleotide ribosomal RNA is filed under the name uncultured euryarchaeote. Its description in RNAcentral is "bacterial SSU rRNA". It matches the Rfam family "Archaeal small subunit ribosomal RNA", at positions 80 to 587 of the family's 1478-position model. The record is from RNAcentral. Lineage: Archaea; Methanobacteriati; Methanobacteriota.
CGAUUACGGCUCAGUAACACGUGGAGAACCUACCCUUAGGACUGGGAUAACCCUGGGAAACUGGGGAUAAUACUGGAUAGGCAAUUAUUCCUGUAAUGGUUUUUUGUUUAAAUGUUUUUUCGCCUAAGGAUGGGUCUGCGGCCGAUUAGGUAGUUGGUUAGGUAAUGGCUUACCAAGCCUUUGAUCGGUACGGGUUGUGAGAGCAAGAGCCCGGAGAUGGAACCUGAGACAAGGUUCCAGGCCCUACGGGGUGCAGCAGGCGCGAAACCUCCGCAAUGUGAGAAAUCGCGACGGGGGGAUCCCAAGUGCCAUUCUUAACGGGAUGGCUUUUCAUUAGUGUAAAGAGCUUUUGGAAUAAGAGCUGGGCAAGACCGGUGCCAGCCGCCGCGGUAACACCGGCAGCUCUAGUGGUAGCAGUUUUUAUUGGGCCUAAAGCGUCCGUAGCCGGUUUAAUAAGUCUCUGGUGAAAUCCUGCAGCUUAACUGUGGGAAUUGCUGGAGAUACUAU